RNAcentral lists this ribosomal RNA (253 nucleotides) under uncultured bacterium. RNAcentral's name for it is "partial 16S ribosomal RNA". It matches the Rfam family "Bacterial small subunit ribosomal RNA", at positions 524 to 776 of the family's 1533-position model. The record is from RNAcentral.
UACAGAGGUCCCGAGCGUUGUUCGGAUUCACUGGGCGUAAAGGGUGCGUAGGUGGCGAGGUAAGUCGGAUGUGAAAUCUCCAAGCUCAACUUGGAAAUGGCAUUGGAAACUACCUUGCUAGAGGUUUUGAGGGGGGACUGGAAUUCUCGGUGUAGCAGUGAAAUGCGUAGAUAUCGAGAGGAACACCAGUGGCGAAGGCGAGUCCCUGGAAAACACCUGACACUGAGGCACGAAAGCUAGGGGAGCAAACAGG